UCGCCAAAACAAAUGGGGGAGAAUGUCAAGGACCGUAGCUUUACUUAGCCCCUUGACACUAUCGCAACCGCAGUUUGCCCAACUUCAGCCGCACAUUGUAAAUAUUACUUCAAGUUUGAAUUGUAAUUUUCUUUUCAUUGUAAUAGUUAUUUCAAUUGUAAAAUAGCUCUGAUAUUGGUAAAAGUUUAGUAUGAUUCCUCAUCUUUUAAACGUCUACUCCCGUCACUUGGGUUUUUGUUCAGAAUGCUAUUAUAGGGGGUAUUAGUCAUUCAAAAAUCUUUGAAGCUCACUAGUGUCCGCCCCCUGCACCAGCAAUUGUAAUUUUCUGCUUUCAUCAAUUGUAAUGUUCAGUUUUCAUCAAUCAAUGUUUAAUUUACUUUCAAUGUAUUCAAAUUCUCUAUUGUAAGCUUUCUACAAAAUUGUAAUCAAAUUUUCUUUCGUC
Molecule: long non-coding RNA, 442 nt
Filed under: Olea europaea (common olive)
Lineage: Eukaryota; Viridiplantae; Streptophyta; Magnoliopsida; Lamiales; Oleaceae
Description: long non-coding RNA (OEUR_LNC013924)
Source: RNAcentral